Molecule: non-coding RNA, 75 nt
Organism: Myotis davidii
Lineage: Eukaryota; Metazoa; Chordata; Mammalia; Chiroptera; Vespertilionidae
Source: Rfam
GGUGGUUCUCGAGUGACAAACCCUGGAAUUGGGCUCUCUCCUCUCUGGUUCUGGGUGUGUCACUCGAGAAGCACA